This 1632-nucleotide unclassified non-coding RNA is filed under the name Hevea brasiliensis (rubber tree). Lineage: Eukaryota; Viridiplantae; Streptophyta; Magnoliopsida; Malpighiales; Euphorbiaceae. The record is from RNAcentral.
UUCAAGUUCCAUUACAGCCAGUUCGCUUUUCCAGUUAACCAGUUCAUCUUCUUUUAUAUGCAGCUGUCUUUUGAGGAGCCCAUCAUGUUGAUUGGCUUCACUUAGUCUUUUAACGAGCCUUUCUCUUUCUGAAUCAACUAGCAGUGACUUCAACUGUUAGAAACUACAGAAUCUGUCUCACUAUUGGGGAAAAGUUACAUAUAUACAUACCUACAUAUUUGAGCAUGUGCUGCAAAUUGUGUGUGCCCCUUCUUGUAUUUGUACAUAAAAAACAGCCCAAGUAAUUAAUUCCAUUUCACACAGAUUGCAAUUAACCAAUGUCACCUAGACUAGCUACAGUUGCCACUAUGGUCAAUCAUGCAUUGUGCUGCAAUAUGGAUUAUAGUCGUAAGUUCAUCUAAUUCAGGACACCAGAUCUCAGUACAACGAAGUCAAUCCAAACAAUCGGAAUGAAAAUUACUCAUAACUACAAAGAAAGCAUGGGCAUAAUGGAAGUAGAACUUAGCAAAAGAAGUGCAGAGAUACAACUACUACAAAAUGCUGACAUUUAAUGAAUUUCUAUCCCUAUCAAAAAAAAAAGAAAAAGAAAGACCACUUAAAAAGACUUCUAUUUCAUGAACACUGGCUAAUUCAAAUUUAAAAACACCUGCAUAAUGGAAUGCAGAGGAAGUAAUUCACAUCAGCAAUGCAUAAUCCGGAUGUCAAUAUAUUUCAAUAAGUUAAGCAUAGGUGCUGGAAUGUUCUCUUUUAUGUAUUCCUUGAUUUCUUACAAAUUUCAGCGUGUGGCUCACACGUGAUGCAAUUAAAAAAAUCAUUAACUAACAAUAAACGAUCAUGGCCUAGUAAUUCACUGAAAUUGAUUAUGCCAAAGGAUAGUACACUGCCUUGUUAAUAUACAAAUGAAGGGCCUACAUCAGCAUUACCCUUGACAUGGUACAUGUCUUUUUUAUAACCCCUUACUUGGUAAAACUAAAACAGGAAAGAGCCUUUCAAUUAGCCGUUCAUGCUCUCGUCUCAUGCUCCACAAGCAUUGGCUCAUUUGAGGCCAAUAGGCAAUAUCAUGAUAGAACAUAUAUAGAUGUUUCAUAUUCCUCAAUGCAUAAUCAGGAUAUUCCAGGAAGUCAAUUGUUUAUAACUUCUCUCAUAAGUUUCUUGCCUUUUGAUUUCCUUGCUUUCUUCCAACGUACUCCUUACAUGUCAUACAACUAAAAAAUCAAUAGAGAACUGAUUGUGGUCUUCACUUGAAAGACUUGUGCAAUUUUACUUCUUCACUUAUAUUAUUAUGUGUAAGGGUAGCAUUGCCUUUUUCUUUUUUGUUUUUCAAUAUAAAAAAGCGAGAGUCUAAAUUGGUCUCUCCCUUGACAUAGUAACUAUUUCUUUUAUCACAUCCUAGUUGAUAAACAUGAAAGUGCCCUUUCACUUGCACUUUAUUUUCCCUUCUAGUAAAACACACACACAACAUUUCUUACAAGCACCAUGUCAAUUUAAAGCUGUAGGAUAUAAGAGAUGAUGCUUUUAAUAUUUAUCAGAAAAUAAGAGACAGUAGAAAUUAAAGCUCACAUCAUUACUGUUCAAUGGUUGCGCAAGAAGGUCUUCUGAUAAAUUAGCAGAUCCAUUCUCUUCAUCUUCAGA